CGGAUGACAAGGUAAGUGACAUCGUACAUGCUCUGGGUGUCUUGAGGAGCUUGUCUUUGGAUGAUGCUGAGCAGGUCUUUCUUUCUGGUAACGGUUAUCAUUACAGUGAAGUAAAAGAAUUUAACAGACAGAUUGACAAACAACUGACAAAAGAAGAGAGACCAUUUAAUAGUGGAUACCCUUCCAGCCGCAACCCAGUACUGGGAAACACCCAUUUACACUUAUAUACUUGAACAUGGGGAGAACAUGCAAACUCCACACAGAAAUGACCACUGGCCCAGCCGGGGCUUGAACCAGCAACCUUCUUGCUGUGAGGCGACGGUGCUAACCACUGUGCUGCCCCAUGUGCUCUAUGCGGAGGCCUCUAGAGAUCGUGACCUGUGAAGAGAUGAUGCCACCAUAGAGGACUUCUAGAUGUAUCCAUAAUCCUGGACCAGACCGCAUCACGAGCAGAUGCAGUGGUGGUCAUGGAGAAGUGGAGAGCAUGAUACUGAUUAAUGAAAGACCCCAGUGACAGAUGAGUGCCCACAUUGAUCCUGUGGUCCAGCCUGAAAAC
Molecule: non-coding RNA, 556 nt
Organism: Danio rerio (zebrafish)
Lineage: Eukaryota; Metazoa; Chordata; Actinopteri; Cypriniformes; Danionidae
Source: Ensembl